This 587-nucleotide long non-coding RNA is filed under the name Anas platyrhynchos platyrhynchos (common mallard). RNAcentral describes it as "lncRNA (ENSAPLG00000017633.1)". Lineage: Eukaryota; Metazoa; Chordata; Aves; Anseriformes; Anatidae. The record is from RNAcentral.
CUUGUCAGCAAUAACCCCCUUUUAGUCUGAAGGCCUUUGAGAGAGCCACUUUCUGCUGUUGUCUCAUCUCAGUGGUUUUCACACCAGGGACAAGCAUUUUCCCUUGGUAGUCUUAGGAGCAGCUGAUUCAGUGUGCUCUAAUUUUCACUGAUUAGGCUUUCACUGAUUAUAUUACUACAGUUACUCCACCGAUCACCGUUCCUCAAAUCCUUGCUGGGCCUUUCUGUUUCAUUUGCUUAGCCUUUCCUCAGAGAAUCUAACAGGAAAUUUGCUUUUAAAGGAAGCAAACGUAGAACUGAAAAAGAACUGAAAAUAAAAAUACAAACCCCAAAUGUUCAGGUUUUCCUUUUGCCAACCUACUCUCUAUCUAUUUAAGCAAGACAUUACUCAGUUUGGGAACUGAAAUAAUAAUGUACUUCUGGCUUUUUAUUCAGACCAGCAGAAGGCUAGGCUAACAAUCCCUUGUUGAAGAAACGGAAACUGAAGAGCCAUACUCAGCAAAUGCUUUGGAAGUUUUUAUUCUGUUGGACUCUUCUUGAUAUGAACAUUGCUGAAAUUGUAGCUACAAGUCAUUCUGGUAAAGCCAU